Molecule: non-coding RNA, 2305 nt
Organism: Aegilops tauschii subsp. strangulata
Lineage: Eukaryota; Viridiplantae; Streptophyta; Magnoliopsida; Poales; Poaceae
Source: RefSeq, a predicted model, not a curated record
CCACCUCCCGCCCCGAUGGCCGCGCCCACCUCCCGCCACGACGGCCGCCCCCAACCUUCUGCCGCGGCUGGCGCCCCUCCCCAGAUCCCGCCACAGCCCCAAAAACCAGCCGGCGCCGCCGCUGUCAUCCUGCACUAGAUCGACCCGCCGCUAUCGCUCCGCUGUCGCGUACAGGCAAUUCAAUGCCUCAACCCCAGGCCGUUCAAUGCCUUGCCGACCGCCGGCUCCCCCAUGGACGCCUAGCUCCUGCACUAAAACCACUGUGGCCCAGGGAUUCACCCGCCCCAACCCACUGGCCCGGUUACGAAUGCCACGCGCUCCCUCCAGUGACCAGCCCCGCGUCGCGCAUGCCCCUCCGAUGACCGGAGACCUGCCACGCGCCCCGCACUCCAGCCGCGGCCAGCUCCCUCCUGUGCUGCUCGGUUGCUUGAAUAGACGUGUAGCAGUUCAAAACAUGCAGGCCUCUGCCCCUCCGAAAUGCCCAGUUCCCCUUCGUUCAUGUCGCUUUCUCGCCCAUACACACGGUUGGAGAAUCAUCGACCUCGUCGAGCUUGACCUUGCAAGCAGCCUCGCUCGCCGUACAUGAUUUUUGUCUCCUGAGGAUUAAAUAAAAAGCUUGCUCAAAGGAAGCAUUUCCCAUCAGUGAAUUGGCUCAUUUCCUACUCAAAUACUCGCAGGCACUUGAUUCCUACAAGAAGUUUGAUUCAGACUUCAUUGCUAUUAGAAUGAAGGCAUAUGAGGUGUUGCACAGGGAGGAUGAUCUAAGUGAAAUUGUGCAGGGAGAAGGUCACAAUCAGGCACUGUAAAAGAAUUCUGAAUUAUUGUCUGUUAAACACUUCACAAGAUUCUGCAUCCGGGAAAUGGCUAGUCAUUAUCAUGCACCUUAGCAAGGAAUAGUAGACGGUAUGACAUGUAAAAAAGAUGCGUUGAAGUGGUUGGUGCUGCUCUCCUGAAAGAUGAUUGAUGGCUACCUCCUCCCGCUGGUGGGGCUCUAUCGCUGUAGUGCCCCGGUUGUUCACAGCCGCUACCCCAGGUCGUUCAGCAACACAGCGCUAAGUCGUUCGACGCCGCAGCUCGGGAGGUGCCCGCUUUUCCCCACCUCCCCCUGUAUGUUCAUCUCCUUCUCUUGUGUAUAUUUAGUUCAACAUCUCGUGAUUAUUCAGGUUACCUUAGUCGGCAUUCUCAGUUCAUCUUGCAGGUGAUUGAGCUCCCCUUUGGUUCAUCUUGGAGGUGUGUUUUUGGGCAGUACGAAUACAUUGCUAUAGUUAGUACAGAUGUGGCACCUUGCGGAGUACUAAAAAGACCAACUGCUUAGGAUUACUAUAAUGAGCUAAUAAUAAUAUUUGAGUCCUUCAGGAUCCUCUAGUUCUGGAUGUCCACCGCCACCCCCUUCAACCCCUAUUUCUUAAGGAGGCUCUCUGCUUGCCGCUCGGUUGUCCUCUAUUUGUUCUAAUUUCUUGCAAAUCAAGUUUAGUUUGAUGAUGGCUGUUGAAGAUUACAUUUGUGUGCUCUGAUUGAUUUAGUUUCUGAAUCUUGACUUGCUAAAAUGAACCUACUAUGUUUUCAAUCAAUUGAUGGAGUGCAGGAAAUCCAAAAAUGUCUUACUGUUUACUCCAUCAAUUCAUGUAAGUUCAGCUAUUUUAUUGCUAAUAAGUUCAGCUAUUUUAUUAAAAUAGGGGGCUAUAAGAUGUUGACUGUCAUUGCCCUUCCAAACAUGUCGUUGGUGUCAAACCAUUCGCAGUGAGUUUCAGUCCAUAGGUUGCUCGUGAUCCUCGCUCCUUCAGCUCCACUUCGUCGGCGCCAUCAGUCCACAGAAGUAGGGGCGGCGUGCCCGUCAACAAACAAGAACAGAAGUUCUUCUUGUACAUCCGCCGCCAGCCCGGCGCCCCCGUGCGAUCCAUCAACCGCAGCCGAGAACCUCCGCCCCGCUUCCAUCGCCGGUUGUCGUCCCUCCACCCCUCCUCCUCCCACAACCAUGAUCUGGUUUCAGCAGCUGCCAUGAUGCAAUGUUGCUACUCCCUCCCUACAACAUGGACACAAACAAGCUAAUGGAUGAAAAAAUGAUUAUAGAUCAUUAUUGCUAUGAUCUGUAGUUUCUGUGAACUGAUAUUUGAGACUCUCUCCAGGCUCUGUAGCUUCUGUGAACGGAUAGUGCAGACUCAAUGAACUCUGUCCAUCUCGACUCUUGAACUGAUAGUAGAUAGUAGAGAAGAAUGUAGUGUUGCCUGUCAACUAUUGGUUUGGCCAGUUUCGAAUUUUGGCCUGGUUGAACUUUUGGUAGAGCAUCGGUUUGUUGUCAGUUCUA